CAGAUCAUCCUUGGUGUGAGAGAAGCUCAGAGAGGGGGCAUGAAAAACCAAAGAGAGGAGUGGGCAUCCGUGCGUGAGAAAAAGAGGAAGAAGGUUCCUCUUUGGGGUGUGAGAUCUAGGUUGGGGUUCUAGGGUUUCCUAGUUUCAAUUUUGUGUGAGAGAAAAAUAAAAGAAGUUUUGUUCUUCUUCUUCGAUGCCAUCUUCUCCUUGAAAAGCUCCAUCUUUUGAUCUAGAGAUGUCCAUUUGAUCUGAAGAAAGGAGUCUCCAUCAGCCAUCCAGAGCCUUCAUCAUGAGCUGGCACUCUCGAGAAGGA
This 313-nucleotide long non-coding RNA is filed under the name Elaeis guineensis (African oil palm). Its description in RNAcentral is "long non-coding RNA (EGUI_LNC048365)". The record is from RNAcentral. Lineage: Eukaryota; Viridiplantae; Streptophyta; Magnoliopsida; Arecales; Arecaceae.